GCAUCUGUCACAAUGGUGGCCAUGGGAACCCACAUCAUGACCAACAAAUGAGGGAGGUGUUAACUCUGGUGGAAACAGUCACCUUGGAAUCGAUGUGGUCCUUGUCAGUUGGCAGAUUGAAUGGAGCCAAGCUUGCAGACACCACAAGUGGAGUCUGACAAACAGAAUCAUACACAGCCUGAAGCGAGGAUUCCUGAAAUUCCUGCUAGAUUUAAGAGAGUUAUCCAGAAGACAAGGAUGAAAUCUGUGCAUCAAUGCUUCUGCUAAAGAAUGGCAAUGUUUCUAGUGUCAACCAACGUUUGCUGGGUGCAUUUGACAGCAUUUAGUGAAUUCAGUUUCACUGUUUCUUUGAGUGUGCAAACCCUUCCCCAGACUCUACAGACUCAACUACAGCAGAAGUAAAGGUGAAAGUGUAAGACUGAAGAGGCAGCAGGUGGUAGUGUGCACAAAAAGAAAAGGAAAGGUGCAGGCCUAAGCACGGUUGGUGAUGUUGCUCUUAGGUAACACCAAUAUGAACAAGAAAGAUGAAAAAAGCAAUGAAGGCAGGAACCUAGAGGACCCACCUAAGACCAAGCAUUUUCACACACCAAAAAUAUCCAGUCAGAUGGGACUGAGAAACCAACAGCUUUAAAGUGAAUGAAACCCAGAUUGUUCCAAUUCAGCACUGCGCUUCCUCAACCCACAUAUCUGUGAGCAACAAAAAAUAACCACCAUUCUCAAAAGAUCUGCUUUCUCAUAUGUCUCAAAUUUCUGGAGAGUUAGUGGUUCAGAAGAAUUAUACUUUUUAAUUACAGAUCACC
Long non-coding RNA from Mauremys reevesii (Reeves's turtle), 800 nucleotides. RefSeq lists it as uncharacterized. Lineage: Eukaryota; Metazoa; Chordata; Testudines; Geoemydidae. The transcript has 5 exons. The record is from RefSeq and is a predicted model, not a curated record.